RNAcentral lists this ribosomal RNA (467 nucleotides) under uncultured Gemmata sp. RNAcentral describes it as "bacterial SSU rRNA". It matches the Rfam family "Bacterial small subunit ribosomal RNA", at positions 9 to 522 of the family's 1533-position model. Lineage: Bacteria; Pseudomonadati; Planctomycetota; Planctomycetia; Gemmatales; Gemmataceae. The record is from RNAcentral.
GAGUUUGAUCCUGGCUCAGAACGAACGCUGGCGGCAUGCCUAACACAUGCAAGUCGAACGAUGGCUUCGGCCAUAGUGGCGCACGGGUGCGUAACGCGUGGGAAUCUGCCCUUCGGUUCGGAAUAACUCAGGGAAACUUGAGCUAAUACCGGAUAAUGUCGCAAGACCAAAGAUUUAUCGCCGAAGGAUGAGCCCGCGUAGGAUUAGCUAGUUGGUGGGGUAAAGGCCCACCAAGGCGACGAUCCUUAGCUGGUCUGAGAGGAUGAUCAGCCACACUGGGACUGAGACACGGCCCAGACUCCUACGGGAGGCAGCAGUGGGGAAUAUUGGACAAUGGGCGAAAGCCUGAUCCAGCAAUGCCGCGUGAGUGAUGAAGGCCUUAGGGUUGUAAAGCUCUUUUACCCGGGAUGAUAAUGACAGUACCGGGAGAAUAAGCUCCGGCUAACUCCGUGCCAGCAGCCGCGGUA